This 583-nucleotide small RNA is filed under the name Pan troglodytes (chimpanzee). RNAcentral's name for it is "processed transcript". The record is from RNAcentral. Lineage: Eukaryota; Metazoa; Chordata; Mammalia; Primates; Hominidae.
AUUUACCCAGUAGUCAUUCAGGAGCAGGUUGUUCAUUUUCCAUGAAGUUGUGCAGUUUUGAGAUGGCUACAGGGCUAGUGGAUUUUUCCCCAGGUAACAUGAGGAUAUUUUUUUCCAGUCUUCAACGUGAGAACUUGGUGGACUUCUAGAGAUGGAGAAACAGUUUGAGAGAGGGCAGUGGAGAAGCAAGAGAGCUGGUCUGGAACCCAGCUGCCUGACUCGUUUCAUGGUCCUGCUGAUGAUCCCAUGGGGCUCUGCUGCAAAACUGGUCUGCUACUUCACCAACUGGGCCCAGUACAGACAGGGGGAGGCUCGCUUCCUGCCCAAGGACGUGGACCCCAGCCUUUGCACCCACCUCAUCUAUGCCUUCGCUGGCAUGACCAACCACCAGCUAAGCACCAUUGAGUGGAAUGACGAGACUCUCUACCAGGAGUUCAAUGGCCUGAAGAAGAUGAAUCCCAAGCUGAAGACCCUGUUAGCCAUCGGAGGCUGGAAUUUCGGCACUCAGAAGUUCACAGAUAUGGUAGCCACGGCCAACAACCGUCAGACCUUUGUCAACUCGGCCAUCAGGUUUCUGCGCAAA